AACCGCCCGGUGCGGACCCGCAUGCCGGGUGGUGUGGCAGGGGCGCGGUCACAACGGCCGCCCCC
Molecule: small RNA, 65 nt
Filed under: Sinorhizobium meliloti 2011
Lineage: Bacteria; Pseudomonadati; Pseudomonadota; Alphaproteobacteria; Hyphomicrobiales; Rhizobiaceae
Source: RNAcentral